RNAcentral lists this long non-coding RNA (1309 nucleotides) under Sus scrofa (pig). Its description in RNAcentral is "lncRNA (ENSSSCG00015023971.1)". The record is from RNAcentral. Lineage: Eukaryota; Metazoa; Chordata; Mammalia; Artiodactyla; Suidae.
AUGGAGGAUGAUGACCUGACCUACCACAGAGGCCUUUCAACUCAGGGCCUCUUAUUGACAAAAAGAAGAGCCUCAGAAACCAGCAAAAACAGCCAUCGUCUGAGACUGGAUUUCUGGACAGGGAAGCUGGCAGAGGACACUGUCCCCUUCACCCUGAUGCCUCUGAGCCAGAUCGAUGUGGGCCCCUUCACCCAGACGGCAGAGCUGUGCUUCCCAGGUGAGGGUGUUAGGCACGAGCUGGGUGCUGCAUUCACCCACCCAUCCCAGGGCUCCUGGGAAUUGCUGACUAAAUGUUCGGUGAAUAAAUGAAGGGAUGAGUGGAUUAGGGGUCCGCAGGGGGGGAUUUCCAUGCAGGAUGAUAUAAACAGGGCACAUGUGUGGGAACUUGAUUUAAGUAAGAACAAACAUCAACCAGCGCUACCCUUGUUUACAAAGCUGUGCUGGAGAUUGUGGAGCCCCGGGGUCGCUGGCCUUAUGUGCUAAAGAGACCCAGUGUUUAUAAAUAGGUGGUCAGGAAUCCAAACAGGAUUCCACCCCCCAGGGCCUGUGUGUGACAUCUUGAGAAAUGUAUAGGUUUGUGCUGGGUCUGUGUGGUCAAUGCCCCUGUGUUGAAUGCAGGAGGAAAGCAAGGUUAUGCGAUUCUUAAUACUUGCACUUGGCCCUGCUUUAACCAAGGAAAGCUGCAGAGGCACACACGUGCCCCAUAAAACCACCAUCCAUCGAGCAUUUGCUGUUAACAUGCCCAGACCCCCUAUACUGAGCGCAUCACAGCCUUGUCUUAGGUCAUCCUCACCCCACCUGUAAGGAGGGCUGUCCUCACUUUACAGGUGAGAAAACGGAAGUAAAACCGAAACACCUCUGACUCGAACCCAGCUUAAACCCAGAUUGGGGCAUGAACCCAGGAGUUUUUAUUUUAUUUUUAUGUAUUUAUUUGGUCUUUUUGCCAUUUCUAGGGCCGCUCCCACGGCAUAUGGAGGUUCCCAGACUAGGGGUCGAAUCGGAGCUGUAGCCACUGGCCUACGCCAGAGCCACAGCAACGCGGAAUCCGAGCCGCGUCUGCAACCUACACCACAGCUCACGGCAACGCAAGGGCACUGAGCAAGGGCAGGGACUGAACCCGCAACCUCUCCUCAUGGUUCCUAGUCAAAUUCGUUAACCACUGAGCCACAACAGGAACUCCCAGGAUUUUUUAAAUUAGAAUACACAUCUGGUGUCUGGACUUACUGAGGCUCAAGGUAAGAGCAUGAAGUCAUACUAGGGCUGGCCUGGUGCUUAUUGAAAGCAGUUGAAAGGUGCUAACAUGUGCCAA